AAUAAAUGCAGCCAUAAAUAUCCGUGUUUAGCGCUUUGACCAUCCGUCUUAUUUAAAAAAUUUAUGAAAAAUAUUAAAAAAAUUAGUCACACAUAAAUUACUAUUCAUGUUUUAUUAUCUAAUAACAAUAAAAAUACCUCUUUUUUCAAAUAAGACGAACGGUCAAACGUUGAACAUGAAUAGUGCUAAAACUGCACUUAUU
RNAcentral lists this microRNA precursor (202 nucleotides) under Oryza rufipogon (brownbeard rice). RNAcentral describes it as "MIR812 microRNA precursor family". It matches the Rfam family "MIR812 microRNA precursor family". Lineage: Eukaryota; Viridiplantae; Streptophyta; Magnoliopsida; Poales; Poaceae. The record is from Rfam by way of RNAcentral.